RNAcentral lists this long non-coding RNA (1159 nucleotides) under Anas platyrhynchos platyrhynchos (common mallard). Its description in RNAcentral is "lncRNA (ENSAPLG00000024564.1)". Lineage: Eukaryota; Metazoa; Chordata; Aves; Anseriformes; Anatidae. The record is from RNAcentral.
GCACCUGGGCCCGCUGACAGCUUCACGCCCACCGCUGCCUAUAAACACGCGGGGAUUGGCUCUCCUGCCCGUCCGUCAGAACGUGCGCCGCGCUCUUACUGGCUAGCUCUCUUAUUUAUAACCCGCCCUCAAGGGCUGGCCAAUGAGAGCGUAGCGCCCUUAGCAACGCCCCUCUCUCUUUCCUGCCGCUGGCUCCUGCGAUCGUCCUGGGAGUUGUUGUCCCUGCUCCCGUUGGUCGAGGUACCUGCCACUCAAGCGCUCCUUAGCCAAUUAGAAAAGAGCACUCACGUGGAUUACCUGCGAACCCCUCCGCGCCUGCCUUCCCCUCCUCCAUUGGCCACACCCCGCCGUCCAUCAACCCUCUCCGCGCUCCGAUUGGCUACGGGGGAGGGCGGCGGGUGUCGGGGUGCCGCCCCUCCUCCGGGGGCGGCUCAGUGGUGGUGGCGGCGGCGGCGGAGGCGGACGCAGAGGGAGGAGCCGCGACGCUCCGCGGCCCCCGCGCCCCGCAGCCGGGCUCGCUCCUCACAUGGGGCCCCCUCGCCUCCCCUCGGCGGGCCGCUGAGGAGCCGGGCAGGCCGCCAUGACAGCCCCCGCCGGCCGCAGGCCCCGCUGGCGCCGCCGCCGCUGCUCAGAUAGUUCUUUCUUCAUCUCCCUGAAAAGCAACCAAACGUUAGGUCGCUGCUCUCAGAUCAAAAAGAAUUAUUUAAGUACGCUUGGAAGAUCCUGGGCACCUUCUCUGCAGCUGAGGAGCUUCCCUGGGCGAUUUUGUCUCCCCGGGGAAACAGAGCGGGCUUUGUCUUCCCGUGGUGCUCCUGUACCAUUUCCAGACCUUCAGGGCUCGUGGGGCAGGAAUAUGAGGUCAGAAAUUGGAUCCUGAUCUUCUCUGUGGCAGCCGGCCAUGCUAUAACGUUAGAUGAUGUAGUGCUAGCAUCUGAAAAGCGCAGGAAGCUCACGCACGGGGGAGUCUGCACAUAAAGUUCUGUAGGAAUACCACAAUGUGGGAUGCGAGAGAGAUUAAAUUUUCUUAAGCAGGCCCUGGUAAGGGUGUCUUAUAACAUCCUCCCCAUCCUGACCCUCAUUCGGAGAGGUGAGUUUUAAGAUAUUUGAAAUUAACACCACCACAGACCUUGAGAGGGGGGGGUUGGGGUAGAGUUUUUGU